RNAcentral lists this ribosomal RNA (557 nucleotides) under uncultured bacterium. RNAcentral describes it as "bacterial SSU rRNA". It matches the Rfam family "Bacterial small subunit ribosomal RNA", at positions 102 to 694 of the family's 1533-position model. The record is from RNAcentral.
ACGGGUGAGUAACGCGUGGGAAUCUACCCAUCUCUACGGAAUAACGCAUGGAAACGUGUGCUAAUACCGUAUACGUCCUUCGGGAGAAAGAUUUAUCGGAGAUGGAUGAGCCCGCGUUGGAUUAGCUAGUUGGUGGGGUAAAGGCCUACCAAGGCGACGAUCCAUAGCUGGUCUGAGAGGAUGAUCAGCCACACUGGGACUGAGACACGGCCCAGACUCCUACGGGAGGCAGCAGUGGGGAAUAUUGGACAAUGGGCGCAAGCCUGAUCCAGCCAUGCCGCGUGAGUGAUGAAGGCCCUAGGGUUGUAAAGCUCUUUCACCGGUGAAGAUAAUGACGGUAACAGGAGAAGAAGCCCCGGCUAACUUCGUGCCAGCAGCCGCGGUAAUACGAAGGGGGCUAGCGUUGUUCGGAUUUACUGGGCGUAAAGCGCACGUAGGCGGACUAUUAAGUCAGGGGUGAAAUCCCGGGGCUCAACCCCGGAACUGCCUUUGAUACUGGUAGUCUUGAGUUCGAGAGAGGUGAGUGGAAUUCCGAGUGUAGAGGUGAAAUUCGUAGA